UACGAAGGGGGCUAGCGUUGCUCGGAAUCACUGGGCGUAAAGCGCACGUAGGCGGUCUUUUAAGUCAGGGGUGAAAUCCUGGAGCUCAACUCCAGAACUGCCUUUGAUACUGAGAGCCUUGAGUUCGGGAGAGGUGAGUGGAACUGCGAGUGUAGAGGUGAAAUUCGUAGAUAUUCGCAAGAACACCAGUGGCGAAGGCGGCUCACUGGCCCGAUACUGACGCUGAGGUGCGAAAGCGUGGGGAGCAAACAGG
This 253-nucleotide ribosomal RNA is filed under the name uncultured bacterium. Its description in RNAcentral is "partial 16S ribosomal RNA". It matches the Rfam family "Bacterial small subunit ribosomal RNA", at positions 524 to 776 of the family's 1533-position model. The record is from RNAcentral.